CAUGAUUAGCGGGGUAUAGAGUAGAGAAACACGUAAUGUAAUGCUCAAGACAAACCGGCCAACCAGGGCAGCCAGCCACCCUGGCUUAGGUUGACUCGUUGCUGGGCCAACUAGCCGUUCAUCACACCGUACCAGGUAUACUCUAUUUCCUCCCAACCAAAGCAACUCAUGAAGCACACAAGUCUAAAAAUAAUUAUCUAUGUAUGUUUCUCUCUGGAGGGCGGUGACCAACUGCGGCCGCGGUAGCGGAGAUCAACAGCGGCAAUAGUGGUGGUGUGGCGGAGGCAGUUUUGUGACGCGGACUGGUUACUCGGUUGCCCGGCACCGGCAGUGGAUCUGGAUUCCGGCGGCAUGGCGGGUCUUUACUGACCUUGUACGAGGAGUCCCCUGGCUUUUGAUGGCUUGAGCUGGCCAUCUUCUGUCAGCACGAGGUGCUUCGGUCAUAUCUUGCUGUGUGAACUAUGCGUGAUUUAUGAUGUUGUUGCUGUUGAAUAUCUGUCCAACUAUCUUAACUGAUGUGUUGUCGUUGGCCAUAUCUUGCUGCUGAUUCUGGGCUAUUGAUCAUGUGUUGUUGUUGGUCUUAAAUCAUGUGGGUUUUUCCUGUGAAGUGCUCUGUGAUCAAGUUUUGAUCAUUUUCUAAAUUCAUAUAAACCUGCGAUGUUCCGGCACUGUCUUGUAAUUUAAAUUGUUGUUGUAAGACCCCACUGAUGCAUUGUCA
This 718-nucleotide long non-coding RNA is filed under the name Triticum aestivum (bread wheat). RNAcentral's name for it is "long non-coding RNA (TAES_LNC013083)". The record is from RNAcentral. Lineage: Eukaryota; Viridiplantae; Streptophyta; Magnoliopsida; Poales; Poaceae.